Molecule: non-coding RNA, 262 nt
Organism: Mesotoga prima
Lineage: Bacteria; Thermotogati; Thermotogota; Thermotogae; Kosmotogales; Kosmotogaceae
Source: Rfam
CCAUGCUAGGCGGGGAGCUGGCGGUUCCCUGUACCCGAAAUCCGCCAUACGCGGGGCCGAAUGCCUUCCGAGGCUUUGCCGGUUUGGUGUCGGUUUGUCUGAAGGUGUUGAGGAUUGAGUCCUGCGCAAUGGGAACUUGCGAACCUGGUCAGGUCCGGGAGGAAGCAGCCAUAAGCAAGCACUCCCGUGUGCCGCGGGGCCGCUCAGUCUGAGCCGGAUGGCAAAUACGGCCAGGUUGUCAAUGUCGACGGAGGAUGCAUGG